GAUGAACGCCGGCGGCGUGCUUAACACAUGCAGGUCGAACGGUGAAGCAGGAGCUUGCUCUUGUGGAUCAGUGGCGAACGGGUGAGUAACACGUGAGCAACCUGCCCCUGACUCUGGGAUAAGCGCUGGAAACGGCGUCUAAUACUGGAUAUGUGAUGUGACCGCAUGGUCUGCAUCUGGAAAGAAUUUCGGUUGGGGAUGGGCUCGCGGCCUAUCAGCUUGUUGGUGAGGUAAUGGCUCACCAAGGCGUCGACGGGUAGCCGGCCUGAGAGGGUGACCGGCCACACUGGGACGGAGACACGGCCCAGACUCCUACGGGAGGCAGCAGUGGGGAAUAUUGCACAAUGGGCGGAAGCCUGAUGCAGCAACGCCGCGUGGGGGAUGACGGCCUUCGGGUUGUAAACCUCUUUUAGCAGGGAAGAAGCGAAAGUGACGGUACCUGCAGAAAAAGCACCGGCUAACUACGUGCCAGCCGCCGCCGUAA
RNAcentral lists this ribosomal RNA (484 nucleotides) under uncultured bacterium. RNAcentral describes it as "partial 16S ribosomal RNA". It matches the Rfam family "Bacterial small subunit ribosomal RNA", at positions 28 to 523 of the family's 1533-position model. The record is from RNAcentral.